GUACACGCUGUGACUAGCAUAUCAAUAAGCGGAGGAAAAGAAACUAACAAGGAUUCCCCUAGUAACGGCGAGUGAAGCGGGAAGAGCUCAAAUUUGAAAUCUUAAAGGGUUUCCCUUUACGAAUUGUAGUUUAAAGAAGUGUUUUCUGUUGAGGUUUUGGUAAAAGUUCUUUGGAAUAGGACAUCAUAGAGGGUGAGAAUCCCGUAUUUGACCUUUACUUUCAACUUUGUGAUACACUUUCAAAGAGUCGGAUUGUUUGGGAAUGCAGUCCAAAAUGGGCGGUAAAUUUCAUCUAAAGCUAAAUAUUGGCGAGAGACCGAUAGCGAACAAGUACCGUGAGGGAAAGAUGAAAAGAACUUUGAAAAGAGAGUUAAACAGUACGUGAAAUUGUCAAAAGGGAAGCGUUUGACACCAGUGUUGUUUUUCUGAAAAUCAAUUAAAGAACUGUUUAUGCUAAGUUGUUUAGACUUCAUCAGCUAACUGUUUAGUUUUGAGCUUUUCUUUAAUGCACUUUUCAGUUAACAAGUCAACAUCAAUUUCUUUUGCUGCUAAAAAAGCUUGAGGAAGGUGGCUUGAGAUUCGUCUUAAGUGUUUAUAGCCUCUUGCCUAUGCAGUCGGAGAGAUUGAGGUCUGCAGCGUAGAUCCUUCGGGGCUAAAUGCAUUUGUGCUAAGUUAUAGCAUUUUAUAGACAACUUGUUGACUAUGAUUUGUCUUGUAGCUUACUCGCUUAUGUUAUUUUACCUACGCUUAGGAUGUUGACGCGCGUGUGUGCGUG
RNAcentral lists this ribosomal RNA (775 nucleotides) under uncultured Neocallimastigales. Its description in RNAcentral is "partial large subunit ribosomal RNA". It matches the Rfam family "Eukaryotic large subunit ribosomal RNA", at positions 22 to 639 of the family's 3401-position model. The record is from RNAcentral. Lineage: Eukaryota; Fungi; Neocallimastigomycota; Neocallimastigomycetes; Neocallimastigales.